Molecule: ribosomal RNA, 440 nt
Filed under: uncultured bacterium
Lineage: Bacteria
Description: partial 16S ribosomal RNA
Rfam family: Bacterial small subunit ribosomal RNA
Source: RNAcentral
CCUACGGGGGACAGCAGUGAGGAAUAUUGGGCAAUGGAGGCAACUCUGACCCAGCCAUGCCGCGUGAGUGAAGAAGGUUUUCGGAUCGUAAAGCUCUUUCGGCAGGGACGAUGAUGACGGUAGCUUCCAAAGAAGCCCCGGCUAACUCCGUGCCAGCAGCCGCGGUAAUACGAAGGGGGCAAGCGUUGUUCGGAUUUACUGGGCGUAAAGGGAGUGUAGGCGGUUUAGUAAGAUAGUGGUGAAAUCCCAGGGCUUAACUUUGGAAUUGCCAUUAUAACUUUUAGACUAGAAUGAAGGAGAGGAUAGUGGAAUGCCCAGUGUAGAGGUGAAAUGCGUAGAUAUUAGGUAGAACACCGGUGGCGAAGGCGACUAGCUGGCUGGAGAUUGACGCUGAGGCUCGAAGGCAUGGGGAGCAAACAGGAUUAGAUACCCUAGUAGUC